GAUUUAAGAUGUCAACACGUUUCAGAAUACCUGUAGUCGAUUGAUUUCCCGAUCAAGUAAUGAACUUGGCCCACAUUGCUAGUGCGAACAAGCCUGUGAAGGGGAAGCUUACCUCAUGGUAGUUAGAGAUGUUCAAGAGAAAAUUUUUUGAGCAAUUUGUAGACAUUGAUAUGGUAUUCAACAAUCUAAUUAUCGACCAUAUGUCGUUGAGAGAAGUGAAGAGCAUGAUAGCUAACUUGAUGAGAUUCUCUGUUGGCAGAAAGGUCGUCACGUUUUCGAAGGAUGAUUUUUUGUUGAUGACUGGUUUGUGGCGAUCCCCUAUGCAAGUUGAUCAGAAUAAGGAGUCCUCAUAUGAACUUGCAAUCAAGUAUUUUGGUAAUCGAGUGAUGGACACAUUACAUAUCAGUCUACUAGAAGAAAGAUAUAAGGAGUUGGAGUUCGAAGAUGAUGAUGAUGCUGUGAAGAUCACCUUAGUGUACUACUCAGAGGUUGCAAUGAUGAGAAAGAACAAGCAGAAAAGUGCAGUGAAACUUAAAUGAUUUAAGGACGUUCAGAACAUAGAGUAUUACAACAGUCUAGAUUGGGGUACCAUUAUUUAGGAGAGGACACUCGAUGCCCUAAAGACUGCAUUAGAUGAUAAGAUAGUUUAUACAAGACGAAGGUGAAAGGAAAUAAAAAUUAUGUCGUGAAGUACUCUUUGCGUGGAUUUCUACAAGCGUUCCAAGUAUAGAUGUAUGAGAUUCUAGUAGCAUCGGUAGUUGGGAAUAUUACUGAAUGAAGGAGCAAGGUAGCUUUGCCUCAUAUAUUACGAUGGUCAUGCUCCCACUCAAUGUCCUUCAAAGUAUUCGAGAGAGAGAUAUUCGAGUCUAACAAUGUGAAAAUACCACCACUACACCUACUCCCAUCCCCCCUCUAUAUCCUCCAAAUACUACCACUACAUCUACUCCCAUCCCUCCUCUAUAUCCUCCAAAUACCACCACUACACCUACUCCCAUCCCCCCUUUAGAGCCCGAUAGCACAACAUCACCCACUGAUGUCCAACCUAUAGAGGUUGACGUCCCACUUAUACAGUCUGACGUGUCUACCUCACCCACCAUGCUUCCACAAAUAGGGAGCCCGAGUACAUCUUUUUCACCCACUAACAUCCCACAUCCAGAGGCCGACAUGUCUGACUUACUCACCAUCCCACAUCCAGAGGCUGACACUUCUAAUAUUGUUAUGAUCAUGCAAGGAGUUACAUUGGAAUCUCGAAGAACUAGUCGUAAGAGGAAAGACGUUGAUAAAUAUAGACCUCCAGCCCAACUAAAGAAGAAAAUAACAAAAGAUGACGAAACUAGGGUACACUUUCUGUCUGAAAGUCAAAAGGUUAAGUAUCUUUUCUGGGGUGUGCCUAUGUCAUUAUUCAGAGUGAUGGUCGGGUACAACGUAGCACAUGACGCUCCACUUUCUAUCUUUACAUAAAUGAUGGGCUGGAUCACCAAUGAGAAUACAUAAAUGAGGUUCGAGAGAAUUCCUUUAAGCCACUAUCCAAGCAAUUUUUCAAAGAACUGAUUGAACCGAGUUCGUGGGUUGAGUGUGAUAGUUACCUUAAUGCUCGUAGCAGGGUAUUUAAACGGAUAAAGAAGAAGCAGAGACUGGAGGCUGCCCUAGUAUGGCAGGAUGAAGACAUGGACAAGGACUACGUCACUGGUAAAUUCGAUGUCAAAUGGAUAAAUGUGGAUUUCGUAUAUACUACAAUGAACAUUGGUGAGCACUGGAUGAUCCUUGCAAUGGACAUUAAUAGAGGCUAUAUAUUCAUGUUUGGUUCACUCUUGUCAUACACAUCAAUGAUGAAGCUCGGGACUUGGCUGGAGCCAUUGACUGUCACACUACCAUCCCUACUUUACUAUUGUGACGUGAAACAUUCAAAACCAGACCUAUCCACAUCCCGUUGGAAAAUCACCCGACCUAUCAAUGCAAACAUACAACACAGGUCACUUGAUUCUGACAUCUUUGCAAUAAAAUUACUAGAAUAUUUAGUGACUGAUGAUCCUUCCGUAAUCACUCAGGAGAGAAUGAGUGAAUAUAGGAUGUAGUUAGCAUGUCAGUUAUGGGCGAAU
Molecule: long non-coding RNA, 2099 nt
Organism: Benincasa hispida (wax gourd)
Lineage: Eukaryota; Viridiplantae; Streptophyta; Magnoliopsida; Cucurbitales; Cucurbitaceae
Source: RefSeq, a predicted model, not a curated record